AGGUUAUUGGUGAUCAAUUGGUA
This 23-nucleotide non-coding RNA is filed under the name Arabidopsis thaliana (thale cress). The record is from RNAcentral. Lineage: Eukaryota; Viridiplantae; Streptophyta; Magnoliopsida; Brassicales; Brassicaceae.